This 492-nucleotide ribosomal RNA is filed under the name uncultured bacterium. Its description in RNAcentral is "partial 16S ribosomal RNA". It matches the Rfam family "Bacterial small subunit ribosomal RNA", at positions 29 to 507 of the family's 1533-position model. The record is from RNAcentral.
AGUGAACGCUGGCGGUAGGCCUAACACAUGCAAGUCGAGCGGCAGCACAGUAAGAGCUUGCUCUUACGGGUGGCGAGUGGCGGACGGGUGAGGAAUACAUCGGAAUCUACUUUUUCGUGGGGGAUAACGUAGGGAAACUUACGCUAAUACCGCAUACGACCUACGGGUGAAAGCAGGGGAUCUUCGGACCUUGCGCGAUUGGAUGAGCCGAUGUCGGAUUAGCUAGUUGGCGGGGUAAAGGCCCACCAAGGCGACGAUCCGUAGCUGGUCUGAGAGGAUGAUCAGCCACACUGGAACUGAGACACGGUCCAGACUCCUACGGGAGGCAGCAGUGGGGAAUAUUGGACAAAGGGCGCAAGCCUGAUCCAGCCAUACCGCGUGGGUGAAGAAGGCCUUCGGGUUGUAAAGCCCUUUUGUUGGGAAAGAAAAGCAGCAGGUUAAUACCCCGCUGUUCUGACGGUACCCAAAGAAUAAGCACCGGCUAACUUCGUG